AUUGUGCUCUUUAUGGGCUAACAUGAUGGGGAGUGAGCUAACCAAAAUAACAGUAUUAGAUAUUUAGGUGGUGUGUGACAUUACACUAUAAAUAUUAUUGGUUAGGGGUGAUAGGCUAGUCAAGUUUCCAGGUAUCUUGAUGUAAAAGAAACUUAUGUAGUAUGGAACAAGCUGAUAGUGGUUAGAUUAUUAGUAAGUAUAAAGUACAGUGGAUAUUUAAUUACACUACUUAAUAGUAAGUAGAGGGAGAAAAGAAUAUUUUUUAAGAUCAGUUAUAGAGAGUAUUUUAUACGGUGCCGUAAUUAUUGAGAGCUAUAAUACUGUUAAUAUUAGUAUAGUCUUGAUUUUUUAGAAGGAACUCGGCAAGUAAUGUGCUCAACUGUUUAACAAAAACAUAACCAUGUGGUGUUUAUACCUGGCGUUUUCUGCUCCAUGAGUAUUUAAAUAGCCGCAGUACCCUGACUGUGCGAAGGUAGCAUAAUCAGUUGGCUUAUAAUUGAAGUCUAGUAUGAAAGAAUAAAUGGGUGAAGACUGUCUCCAAAGGACAAGGAGAAGUUGCUUAACAAGUGCAAAAACUUGUAUGAAGACAAAAGACGAGAAGACCCUAGAAAUUUUUUAAAGUUGUAUAAUCGUUUAAGUACAUUCUAUUUUGCUGGGGCGGCAGAGUAACACUAUAACUUGCUUAUAAUACUUAGAAGUUAGUUUGCAGGAGAAAUAUAAUUACUCUAGGGAUAACAGCAUAAUUCAUAAGAGUUUGUGACCUCGAUGUUGGACUAGGGCCUGCAAUGUUCAGAAGAUGUUGUUGCGCGUUCUGUUCGAACGAUUGCCCCUACAUGA
This 837-nucleotide ribosomal RNA is filed under the name Pleurodonte orbiculata. RNAcentral describes it as "partial 16S ribosomal RNA". Lineage: Eukaryota; Metazoa; Mollusca; Gastropoda; Stylommatophora; Pleurodontidae. The record is from RNAcentral.